Molecule: long non-coding RNA, 718 nt
Organism: Sebastes umbrosus (honeycomb rockfish)
Lineage: Eukaryota; Metazoa; Chordata; Actinopteri; Perciformes; Sebastidae
Exons: 3
Source: RefSeq, a predicted model, not a curated record
CAAACACAUGCAUCUUCGCUAAAAACCUUUAAAUUUUAGCAAUGAUCACACUGUAAAACUUUUUACUGUAAAAUUACAGUAACUUACAGGAGAAACUGCUGCCAGUAUUUUAUUUUAAAAUUUACAGUAUCUCUACUGUAUCAAAGAAUACAGCAGCUUACUGUAAUCAAAGCAUACAGUAAUUUGCUGUAAUAAUUCAAAAAUAACAGUAAAAUACUGGCAGCAGUUUCGCCAGUAAGGUUACUGUACAAUUUACAGUAUCUGUACUGUAUCGCAAGAAUACAACAGCUUACUGUAAUCAAGGCAUACAGUAAUUUGCUGUAAUAAUUCCAAAUAAUACAGUAAUUUAUUGGUAGCAGUUUCACCAGCAAGAUACUGUACACUUUACAGUAUCUCUACUGUAUCGGAGAUAUACAGUAACUUGUUGUAAUCAAAAUGUCCAAUAAUUUCCUGUAAUAAUUCCACAAAUUACAGUAUUUUAAGCAUCUAUAAAAACUAACAAGCAAAUGAAAAAUAACAAUUUAGAACAAUAAACACAACAACAUGGCAUAUUCAUAUUAUUCUUGUUUAUUAUAAUAACCUGAGUUUGACAGAAAAUAACAUCCAAAUAAAACAUUCAAAUACUCAAGCCCUUACAAAUAAAAAUAGUGUGAUGAGUUGUGAGUGAGUAAGAGACACAGUGUGUGUGUGUGUGUGUGUGUGUGUGUGUGUGAAUCUG